This 492-nucleotide ribosomal RNA is filed under the name uncultured bacterium. Its description in RNAcentral is "partial 16S ribosomal RNA". It matches the Rfam family "Bacterial small subunit ribosomal RNA", at positions 29 to 507 of the family's 1533-position model. The record is from RNAcentral.
AGUGAACGCUGGCGGUAGGCCUAACACAUGCAAGUCGAACGGCAGCACAGUAAGAGCUUGCUCUUACGGGUGGCGAGUGGCGGACGGGUGAGGAAUACAUCGGAAUCUACUUUUUCGUGGGGGAUAACGUAGGGAAACUUACGCUAAUACCGCAUACGACCUACGGGUGAAAGCAGGGGAUCUUCGGACCUUGCGCGAUUGAAUGAGCCGAUGUCGGAUUAGCUAGUUGGCGGGGUAAAGGCCCACCAAGGCGACGAUCCGUAGCUGGUCUGAGAGGAUGAUCAGCCACACUGGGACUGUGACACGGUCCCGACUCCUACGGGAGGCAGCAGCGGGGAAUAUUAGACAAUAGGCGCAAGCCUGAUCCAGCCAUACCGCGUGGGUGAAGAAGGCCUUCGGGUUGUAAAGCCCUUUUGUUGGGAAAGAAAAGCAGCAGGUUAAUACCACGCUGUUCUGACGGUACCCAAAGAAUAAGCACCGGCUAACUUCGUG